GGAGUUAGCCGGUGCUUCUUCUGUGAGUGAUGUCCUUCCUGCCGGCUAUUAACCCGCAGGCCUUCUUCCUCACUGAAAGUGCUUUACAACCCGAAGGCCUUCUUCACACACGCGGCAUGGCUGGAUCAGGGUUGCCCCCAUUGUCCAAUAUUCCCCACUGCUGCCUCCCGUAGGAGUCUGGGCCGUGUCUCAGUCCCAGUGUGGCUGAUCAUCCUCUCAGACCAGCUACGGAUCGUCGCCUUGGUGAGCCGUUACCUCACCAACCAGCUAAUCCGACAUAGGCUCAUCCGAUAGCGCGAGGCCCGAAGGUCCCCCGCUUUCCCCCGUAGGGCGUAUGCGGUAUUAGCCUGGGUUUCCCCCAGGGUUAUCCCCCACUACCGGGCAGAUUCCUAUGCAUUACUCACCCGUCCGCCGCUCGCCACCAGGGAGCAAGCUCCCCGUGCUGCCGCUCGACUUGCAUGUGUAGCUCGCCGCCACGCGUCAUCUGAGCGAGAUACAACUACUCGA
This 507-nucleotide ribosomal RNA is filed under the name uncultured bacterium. RNAcentral's name for it is "partial 16S ribosomal RNA". The record is from RNAcentral.